Molecule: ribosomal RNA, 1372 nt
Filed under: uncultured bacterium
Lineage: Bacteria
Description: bacterial SSU rRNA
Rfam family: Bacterial small subunit ribosomal RNA
Source: RNAcentral
GAUGAACGCUGGCGGCGUGCCUAAUACAUGCAAGUCGAGCGAACGGACGAGAAGCUUGCUUCUCUGAUGUUAGCGGCGGACGGGUGAGUAACACGUGGAUAACCUACCUAUAAGACUGGGAUAACUUCGGGAAACCGGAGCUAAUACCGGAUAAUAUUUUGAACCGCAUGGUUCAAAAGUGAAAGACGGUCUUGCUGUCACUUAUAGAUGGAUCCGCGCUGCAUUAGCUAGUUGGUAAGGUAACGGCUUACCAAGGCAACGAUGCAUAGCCGACCUGAGAGGGUGAUCGGCCACACUGGAACUGAGACACGGUCCAGACUCCUACGGGAGGCAGCAGUAGGGAAUCUUCCGCAAUGGGCGAAAGCCUGACGGAGCAACGCCGCGUGAGUGAUGAAGGUCUUCGGAUCGUAAAACUCUGUUAUUAGGGAAGAACAUAUGUGUAAGUAACUGUGCACAUCUUGACGGUACCUAAUCAGAAAGCCACGGCUAACUACGUGCCAGCAGCCGCGGUAAUACGUAGGUGGCAAGCGUUAUCCGGAAUUAUUGGGCGUAAAGCGCGCGUAGGCGGUUUUUUAAGUCUGAUGUGAAAGCCCACGGCUCAACCGUGGAGGGUCAUUGGAAACUGGAAAACUUGAGUGCAGAAGAAGAAAGUGGAAUUCCAUGUGUAGCGGUGAAAUGCGCAGAGAUAUGGAGGAACACCAGUGGCGAAGGCGACUUUCUGGUCUGUAACUGACGCUGAUGUGCGAAAGCGUGGGGAUCAAACAGGAUUAGAUACCCUGGUAGUCCACGCCGUAAACGAUGAGUGCUAAGUGUUAGGGGGUUUCCGCCCCUUAGUGCUGCAGCUAACGCAUUAAGCACUCCGCCUGGGGAGUACGACCGCAAGGUUGAAACUCAAAGGAAUUGACGGGGACCCGCACAAGCGGUGGAGCAUGUGGUUUAAUUCGAAGCAACGCGAAGAACCUUACCAAAUCUUGACAUCCUUUGACAACUCUAGAGAUAGAGCUUUCCCCUUCGGGGGACAAAGUGACAGGUGGUGCAUGGUUGUCGUCAGCUCGUGUCGUGAGAUGUUGGGUUAAGUCCCGCAACGAGCGCAACCCUUAAGCUUAGUUGCCAUCAUUAAGUUGGGCACUCUAAGUUGACUGCCGGUGACAAACCGGAGGAAGGUGGGGAUGACGUCAAAUCAUCAUGCCCCUUAUGAUUUGGGCUACACACGUGCUACAAUGGACAAUACAAAGGGCAGCGAAACCGCGAGGUCAAGCAAAUCCCAUAAAGUUGUUCUCAGUUCGGAUUGUAGUCUGCAACUCGACUACAUGAAGCUGGAAUCGCUAGUAAUCGUAGAUCAGCAUGCUACGGUGAAUACGUUCCCGGGUCU